AUUGAACGCUGGCGGCAGGCCUAACACAUGCAAGUCGAGCGGGGUUUUCGGACCUAGCGGCGGACGGGUGAGUAAUGCGUAGGAAGCUGCCCGAUAGAGGGGGAUACCAGUUAGAAACGACUGUUAAUACCGCAUAAUGUCUACGGACCAAAGUGUGGGACCUUCGGGCCACAUGCUAUCGGAUGCGCCUACGUGGGAUUAGCUAGUUGGUGAGGUAAUGGCUCACCAAGGCGACGAUCUCUAGCGGGUUUGAGAAGAUGAUCAGCCACACUGGAACUGAGACACGGUCCAGACUCCUACGGGAGGCAGCGGUGGGGAAUAUUGGACAAUGGGCGCAAGCCUGAUCCAGCCAUGCCGCGUGUGUGAAGAAGGCCUUCGGGUUGUAAAGCACUUUCAGCGAGGAGGAAGGGUGGUGUGUUAAUAGCACAUCAUUUUGACGUUACUCGCAGAAGAAGCACCGGCUAACUCUGUGCCAGCCGCCGCAGUAA
This 488-nucleotide ribosomal RNA is filed under the name uncultured bacterium. Its description in RNAcentral is "partial 16S ribosomal RNA". It matches the Rfam family "Bacterial small subunit ribosomal RNA", at positions 30 to 523 of the family's 1533-position model. The record is from RNAcentral.